This 57-nucleotide transfer RNA is filed under the name Biomphalaria glabrata. Its description in RNAcentral is "tRNA-Cys". The record is from RNAcentral. Lineage: Eukaryota; Metazoa; Mollusca; Gastropoda; Planorbidae.
AAACUAGUUUAUUUUAAAAAUUUUUGAUUGCAAGUCAGACGAAGAUAUUAUCGUUUU